This is a long non-coding RNA of Perca fluviatilis (European perch), 1682 nucleotides long. RefSeq lists it as uncharacterized. The record is from RefSeq and is a predicted model, not a curated record. The transcript is spliced from 2 exons. NCBI's taxonomy places the organism in Eukaryota, Metazoa, Chordata, Actinopteri, Perciformes, Percidae.
AUAUCAAAAAGUUACGCACUAAAGCUUUAAAAGUGAAAACAUUCUGGUUGAAACAACAAAUAUGUAAGAUAAACAGAUUUACGUUAGAGCUGUCUGAUUUGACAUUUUUCCCUGUCAUACUAAUACUUGGACUAACAAAGCUAGCUCCAUGCAAAACAAGGACCAAUGCUGCUUCUUUAGGAUGCUGACUUUCUGCCAUGUUAGCCUCAGUGUUUUGACAAAAUAUACUGUAUGUAGCCAUAAGAUGGAAAAAGACUUUUGUAAGUUGUAAGAUAAAUCGAGGACACAUAAAAAAAGUCCUAAACCUUUAAACUGAUGUUAGCUUAAUAAGCUAGGUAGAUAUGGCUGAUGUUGUUAUUUCAGCCAGCAAAACCGACAGUCCCGACUAGAAAUGAGAAGCAGCAUUUGUCUAGUAUAAUUAAUAAAAAAAUAAUGUUUGAGUUGUAAUGUUAACAUUGUACUGUAAGUGCUAUGCGACAACGGAAAGCUUGACAGACGUAGAAGCUGCUGGGCUUAGUGAACGGUAAAUUCACAUUUUAAAAAACCCGCCUUGCAUGCAAACCGCACACUGCAUUUUCAAAUGGAGCGAUGUUCGGGCUGUGCCCUCCCGUGCCUACUGAACUGGUAUCAGUGUUUUACCUAAAAACUGGCUCAGUUCAGCAGGAACAGGAGUGAAGUCCGCUGUCAGCGGGAUCUCUGUCCUGUCUCACCAUCUUCCACUGAACAUGCAGCAAGACAGCCCAACCCAGAUUCAACACUUCUUUUGCAAUGCUCUCAUGUUAAGUUGACCACACCCAGCACAGAGCGGUGUGGGUAAUAUGCCUCGAGUCAUUGGCCCUGAUGAAAAUCAAACCCGAGCCCUCCAACCUGUCAGACGAUGGCACUGAACCCUGAAGUGCAUGCAAGGCGGUGCAGCUCAAGUUUUAGAUGACCGUCCCCUUUCUUUGCUUAAACAUGAAUGUUUCAUGAGCAGAUUUACCAUUUAUGCUUGAUAGGUAGGCCCUGGCGUCCAGAGCCGUUGUGUUAAUACUGUUACAUACUGAUGCUGUUGAUCUUGUUGUUUUGCUCAGCCUUCAUGUUUAUUUCAGCAUUCUUCCCUUGAAAAAGCUGCAAACACGGCUCACUCUUUGCCAAUGCCAUGUCUCUCUCUUUUUUCUGUCUCUCUGUGCUGUCAAAGGCCACACUGACACUGGAGUUCAUUGUCAGAUAACCCGCAGCCACCAAAGGAAAAGUGCUUCAUCUUGAAGAUUUCAUAUCCACAGGAAAAUUAAUGUUCAUUAGCAAGCAUGAUGAAUCUGCUCUUAUCCGGCAACUCCACUGAUCGUGGUUUUGGCGAUCAUAAAAUUAUAUUUCUGUUACUUUUGAAUGUUUCUUUCAAACCUUGAGGAGAUAUCUUAGCAAGUUGUUUUUUCAUUGUGUCAGCGAUUUGAUAUUGUCUUCAGGGCAUUGUUCCAGCCAAGUCGUACCACUGAAAAGUUUGCUAUGAUUUGUGUUUAAUCAUUUAAUCUACCUAAAUGUGGACGACAACGGUGCAUGAAGUGCAUUAUUCUAAAUGUCAGUAAGUUUCUAACUACUUUCAUUGUGGAGCCUAAUUUAUUGUAAUGUUACACGUGCAACCAAUAUUUCAUUUCAUUACUAAUCCAGCCACGAUUUAAUGUAAUAAAGUUUAAAUGAACUGAAAA